GGGCCGGUGGUCCAGUCAGGACAGGACGCAGGCCUCCGGAGCCUGAGAUCGCGGGUUCGAAUCCCGCCCGGCCCG
RNAcentral lists this transfer RNA (75 nucleotides) under Hadesarchaea archaeon. Its description in RNAcentral is "tRNA-Arg". It matches the Rfam family "tRNA". From Rfam's summary of the family: Transfer RNA (tRNA) molecules are approximately 80 nucleotides in length. Their secondary structure includes four short double-helical elements and three loops (D, anti-codon, and T loops). The record is from RNAcentral. Lineage: Archaea; Methanobacteriati; Hadarchaeota (SeqCode); Hadarchaeia (SeqCode).